RNAcentral lists this ribosomal RNA (492 nucleotides) under uncultured bacterium. RNAcentral's name for it is "partial 16S ribosomal RNA". It matches the Rfam family "Bacterial small subunit ribosomal RNA", at positions 29 to 507 of the family's 1533-position model. The record is from RNAcentral.
AGUGAACGCUGGCGGUAGGCCUAACACAUGCAAGUCGAACGGCAGCACAGUAAGAGCUUGCUCUUACGGGUGGCGAGUGGCGGACGGGUGAGGAAUACAUCGGAAUCUACUUUUUCGUGGGGGAUAACGUAGGGAAACUUACGCUAAUACCGCAUACGACCUACGGGUGAAAGCAGGGGAUCUUCGGACCUUGCGCGAUUGAAUGAGCCGAUGUCGGAUUAGCUAGUUGGCGGGGUAAAGGCCCACCAAGGCGACGAUCCGUAGCUGGUCUGAGAGGAUGAUCAGCCACACUAGAACUGAGACACGGUCCAGACUCCUACGGGAGGCAGCAGUUGGGAAUAUUGGACAAUGGGCGCAAGCCUGAUCCAGCCAUACCGCGUGGGUGAAGAAGGCCUUCGGGUUGUAAAGCCCUUUUGUUGGGAAAGAAAAGCAGCAGGUUAAUACCCCGCUGUUCUGACGGUACCCAAAGAAUAAGCACCGGCUAACUUCGUG